AUUGAACGCUGGCGGCAGGCCUAACACAUGCAAGUCGAGCGGAGCGGCGGACGGGUGAGUAUUGACCAGGAAUCUGCCUGGUAGUGGGGGAUAAAGUCCGGUCACGGGCGCUAAUACCGCAUACUAUCAGAUGAGCCUAGGUCGGAUUAGCUAGUUGGUGGGGUAAAGGCCUACCAAGGCGACGACUCGUACCUGGUCUGAGAGGAUGAUCAGUCACACUGGAACUGAUACACGGUCCAGCCUCCUACGGGAGGCAGCAGUGGGGAAUAUUGGACAAUUGGCGAAAGCCGGAUCCAGCCAUGCCGCGUGUAUGAAGAAGGUCUUCGGAUUGUAAAGCACUUUAAGUUGGGAGGCGUUACCAACAGAAUAAGCACCGGCUAACUUCGUGCCAGCCGCCGCGGUAAUAC
RNAcentral lists this ribosomal RNA (407 nucleotides) under uncultured bacterium. RNAcentral describes it as "partial 16S ribosomal RNA". It matches the Rfam family "Bacterial small subunit ribosomal RNA", at positions 30 to 526 of the family's 1533-position model. The record is from RNAcentral.